Molecule: unclassified non-coding RNA, 808 nt
Filed under: Hevea brasiliensis (rubber tree)
Lineage: Eukaryota; Viridiplantae; Streptophyta; Magnoliopsida; Malpighiales; Euphorbiaceae
Source: RNAcentral
GAAACAUCCUUACCAUACCUCAACCUGUCAGGAACAUCAGCCUCCAAUGCAACAGUAGGAGUUAAAUUGAUUACAUGUGCAACAGUGUACAGUGCCUCACCCCAAAAAGAUCUAGGCAACUUUGCAUCUGAAAGCAAACAUCUGACUAUUUCCAUUAAUGUUAUGUUCAUCCUUUCUGCUAAACCAUUUAACUGAGGAGUCUUAGGAGGUGUUUUCUGAUGUCUGAUACCUUGUUCUCUGCAAUAUACAUCAAAAGGACCACAGUAUUCUCCACCAUUAUCAGUUCGGAUACAUUUCAGCUUCUUUCUUGUUUCUCUUUCAACAGAAGCUUGAAAUUCUUUAAAUGCACCAAGCACUUGAUCCUUUGACUUCAAGACACGAACCCAAAGCUUCCUUGAGCAAUCAUCAAUAAAAGUUACAAAAUAAAGUGCACCACUAAAUAACUUUACCUUCAAAGGCCACAAACAUCUGAAUGUACCAGCUUAAGCAAAUCCUUUUUCUUGAAAGGAGGAUGAUGUUUGAAAGAGACCUUUCUUUGCUUCCCAAUCAAGCAAUGAUCACAUCUAUUUAUCUUUGCACCUUUCAAUCCUGAAAGCAGAUUCUUUUUGGCUAGAUAAUCAAGCCCUUUCUCACUAAUGUGACUUAACCUCUUAUGCCAUAAUUCUGAAGAACUAUUGCUUUCAAUUGCAUUCAUAAGAUUGGUAGAGAUUGAAGCUUGUAACCAGUAUAAGCCCGAAGACUUCUUUCCUCUAGCCACAACUAGUGAACCUUUAGUGAGUUUCAAUUGCCCAUCAUUGAACAUGUCAAA